This 5826-nucleotide unclassified non-coding RNA is filed under the name Hevea brasiliensis (rubber tree). The record is from RNAcentral. Lineage: Eukaryota; Viridiplantae; Streptophyta; Magnoliopsida; Malpighiales; Euphorbiaceae.
GUCUCAAAUGGGACUGUAGUAUGAUAGAAGAUAGUGGCUCAAAAUGAUGUCUCAAAUUAGAGAUUAGAUCACGAUGGAUGUAGAGUUUUGGAGUAGUGAUAAUGGUUGUGCCUUUCUCUUGUAAUUUGUGGGUACAACUUCACCUUUCAUGCCAUCUUCGCAAUACCCUUUAUCUCGCUAUUCAUCACAAUCUGUUGGCUUUAUUCCUGCUAGCGAAAUGCGAUCAUUCCUUUUUUUAUGGUCCUGCACUUGCCUGCGAGCUUCCUCCAAGUCCUGAGGGUCGAGUUUUGCAUUCCAGUUGAUUUGAUCAAUGUACAUAUCAGUACUUAGUAGAGAGAAUAAUUUGCAUAAAAGGCCAUUCUUUGUCCAGAACCGAUUCUUGGCCUGUUGAAAGGACUUCUUACCUGCUGAAUCGUCCCAUGCGUGUUGGUUUGCUGCCAAGAAAUUUUGUCUCUUCAUUCCUCUCACAUUACUGUUCCGACCUCAUUGAUGAUAUUGCAUUGUUGGCAUUGUUUCUCAGAAAAAGAACUAUUGAGAGAAUUAACUAAUGGCUACUCUCUUAAGUUUACCUGAGAGAAAACGAAGCCCCAUUUAUAAGUGAAGGAUUGGUGUAAUUUGUGUUGAAAUAGAUAACUCUUUCCUGUUAGGAUUUGGAUUACCGUCCUAUCUCUCUUUGCUUCAAAUCUCUCUCUCUCAAUUAUUAAAACCAAACCCCACGCCUUUAUUUAUUACGCCCGUUCAUCCCAAUCAUUGUCUCAAUAACAGCCGUUUAAUCGCCACUUUCUUACCCCUCUUUUCUGAUUUCAUGACUCCCACAUUGACAUGUCACCGGCGUUGCUAGACACCGGGGCUCUGAUUCAAAACCCUAAUAUUAACGGUCAGAUUUCUCAUCCUCUUUUUAUUGCCUCUUGUUUUUAUUUGGAUUCUCUAUCGGCACAACAACCACCAUUGCUAAGCUUCUCGAACGCCAUGAACCCAUUAAAUUUUGGUGAUUUAAAUUACGGGUUUUCAAAUUCAAGCGGAAAUGCCCAGAAUUUGAACUUUAGCUCGCCUUCUAUUCCACGAUCAUCGGGGAAGCCUCUUUCGAAGCCGAGAUUCGUGAAAGCGAGAAAGGAAUCCAAUUCCCAGAAUUUGAAAUUCCCAGCUGACACCUGUGCGGGGCCCGGUUUUAAUCCGUUCGGACCUGUUUCGGGCUCUGCUGAGCAGGAUGUUUCAAAGUCCACUGCAUUUGGGUUUGGUAGCGGUGGGAAUGAGUCGUUUGUUUUUGGAACCAGUAAAAGUAUUUUGGGUGGGAAUUCAGAUUCAGGGAAGUGGAAUGUGGAGAAAAAAGUCAUUGAACAAAUGAAAAAUGUGAGAAUUGGGAGCGGAAUUGUGUUCCUGAAUAAUAACUUAAAUGCAAGCGAUAGAAGUGAUUUUGUGUUCGGGAGCGAUCACAAUAAGAGUUCCAUUAUUAAUGAUGGCACGAAGAAGUUGACCAUUGAUGAUAACGAGAUUGAGAAGCUUGCUGAUGAAAGGUCCAAAUUAACGGCAAAUGAUAUUGCCAAAUUUGGGCUCAGGAGUGGUGACAAUGUGACUGCUUCCAUUGGGAAAAAUGUGGAAUCAAAGGUACCAGAUGAGUUGAAGAAGAAAUUAAAUAUCGAAGAGACAAAGGAUUUCAAUAGGGGUAGCGGUAUUUCCAGUGUCGAUGAUGUGAAAAUGUCUGGUUUCAGAAGUGGUGCCAAAAGCUUGGAGAAUGUACUUCCUGAUGAGAUUAAGAAUUUGAACAUCAAGGAUUCUUCGGAUGCUAAUGACAUUGAUAGUAAGACCUAUGAGAAGGAUAGUUUUGCAUCUGGAAGCCGGAAAGGAACUAGGAGUCAAUCGGGUAGAGAAACAGAAAACAUACAGUUGAGCGAGAUGGAGAGCAAGUUGAACAUUGCAAGUGCAAUCGGAGAAUCUUCUGAUCAAACGGACAUGGGAUUUUCUUCUUCUCGAAUCUUUGCCAAGCAAAUGCAAACUGGAAAUGGGGGUGUUAAGAAGUUCCAUGAUUUUGGUAAUUCUGCUCCGAUGAAGUUUACUUUCAAGGGAGGGGUGCAGGGUGAGGAGGCAAGUAGUAGUCAAGUUCCUAUUGACCAACCCAAAGUUGAGACACAGCCAAGUGGACUUGCAGGACCAUCAUCUGCUUUCUCAUCCAGUGGCUUAGCUGGUGGGUAUGCUUUUGGAUUGCCACCAACAGGUAGAGCGGAGAAAAGAGAUGGGUUUAUUUUUACAAGCAAGCAAGAUGGUGUUGGAUCACGCUUUCUUGAAUUUAAAACACCGAAUCCCAAGGGAAAUCUAUUCUCUGGUUUAAAUCGGAAAGUAGAAAUCAGUGCGAAGUUUAAAGACUCAAAAGUAAAGAAAAAAAAAGGAAAGUUGAAGCAACCAGCCAAAGUCCAUCUAUGGACUGGGCAAGAUUUUGUUUCAAGGGAAAGUGGUUGUCGUGAAAUCCCUGAGGCUUCUGAAUCUUAUUCACCCAUGGAUGUUUCGCCAUAUCAGGAAACAUUAUCUGAUACUCAAAUUUCAAGGGAAACUUCUGUGGCAUCUGAGGAAUCUUUCAGUCUUGAUAACCAAUAUCCAUCAACUGGUUCACAAGCAUCUGCUUUGAACGAUGCCAUAGAUGAAGUUUUGGUUGUUGCAACACAACAAAUGGAUAUAAAUGAAGACGAUGUGCAAUUCAGAGCAUCGAAAAGCGAAGGUUCUGGUUAUUGUUCUGAUAAAGGUAUUGGUGCUGAAAAUCCUCCAGAAGAUUCCAUAUCAUGGGCUGAAACAGAAAGCUUUAAAUCUGCAAAUGAGGAAGUAGACUUUAUCAAUGAUGUUGUGGUUACUUCAGCAGAAAAUGGAGCCAGUUCUAGUACAAAUAUUGAGAAGCGAGAUAGUGAUGUCAGGGUUCAAUUUGGUUCUCCUGCAAGUUCUGAGGAUUUUAUUGGUUCUGGUUUUACCUUUGCUGCUUCUGCUGCUGCUCAACCAUCAUCAAAACGUCAGCAUAGAAAGAAGAAUAGUGUUAAAGUUGGUCACGAUUCUUAUAAUUGCAGCCCAAAUGCAAAAGUUUCAUAUCCAUCAUUAUCUUCAGAGUUUACUCCAUUCUCUGGUGCUUCAUUGCCUUUGUCGCCUACUCUGGGCAAGAAAGUAAGCAUAUCCACUCCGUUCCACAUGAUUGGAGAAAACUCUGAGGGGCUUGGACGACAGGAGGUGAAGCAGGAAUUUGAUUUGAUUUCUGCUGCAUCUGUUGCAGCUCAGGAAGCAUGUGAAAUGUGGCGAUUAAGGGGAAACCAAGGAUAUACAUGUGGAGAUUUGUCUAAAGCAGAGGAUUGUUACACACGAGGGAUAAAUUGUGUUUCUAAAAGUGAGACAUCUAGAAGCUGUCUCAGGGCAUUGAUGUUGUGCUAUAGCAACCGUGCAGCAACACGAAUGUCUCUUGGAAGAAUGAGGGAUGCACUUAGAGAUUGUAAAAUGGCUGCUGAAAUUGAUCCCAAUUUUCUCAGGGUGCAAGUUAGAGCUGCAAAUUGUUACCUGGCCCUGGGGGAAGUUGAAAAUGCAUCAGAGUGUUUCAAGAAGUGCUUGCCGUCAGGAAGUGACAUCUGUGUGGACCGAAAAAAUGCAGUUGAGGCCUCUGAGGGACUACAAAAGGCACAGAAAGUGUCUGAAUGCUUGCAACAGUCUGCUGAACUUUUGCAAAGGAAAACUUCCUAUGAUGCAGGAUGUGCUUUGGAACUUAUUUUGGAGGCCUCAACUAUAAGCCCAUUCUCAGAAAAAUUACUUGAAAUGAAAGCAAAGUCCCUUUUCCUGCUGCGAAAGUAUGAUGAAGUAAUUCAGCUAUGUGAGCAGACUUUUGAUUCUGCUGAGCAGAAUUCUCCUCUAAUAGAUGCUGAUUGCCAGUCAGCAGAUCUGGAUAGUAGUGAACAUAUGAAGAACUCCUUUUCUCUCUGGCGAAGCCACCUGAUUUUCAAAUCCUACUUCUAUCUUGGAAAGCUGGAAGAGGCUAUUGGUUCACUAGAAAAGCAAGAGGAACUGAUUGCAAAAAGGGUAAAUCAUACUCCAUACUCAUAUGGAAUAACUUUGAUUUUAAUUUUUCCAGUUUGAUACUUGUACUGUUCCUUCAGUGGUUUGUCCAGGAAUUAUAGCAAGAUGACGGAAUCAUUAACACCCUUAGCUGUCACUGUACGGAUUAGAUGGGGUAUCCUUUGAAGGAAGAGUGGAACACAAUCCUGUUUUACCGCAGGCUGCAGUAAAUGAAGCAUUUCAAGCAGGAAAGCAUUCAGAAGCCAUUGAGCAUUAUACUGCAAUUCCAGAAGAAAGCAAAAGAGAAAUGGAAAAGAUGAACCAAGCAUUCUCACGAGAUUGUAGGGGAAGCUCUUCUUGGGUCACGUGCCAACACCUUCAAUGUUUGAGGUAUCCCUGAGGAUAGUGACAAUGGCAAGGAGUUUCUUAGGAACGGUAGCAACGAGAAAAAGUUAUCAAUUGAUGAGAGAUGUUGAUUAUUGUUUAGAAGGGCUCUAGGUUAUGCCCUAUUGGUAGUGUAGAAUAUGGAUCUGAACAAGGCGAAUUCGGCCAAGGACAUCAUAGCUGCAUGAAAACUGUUCUACGCUAAAUAGUUGUAACCGCCACCCAUAAGAAUCCUUCAAUAGCUCCUCUGUCGAAGCAAUGGAUUCUAUAAGGACUGUUGUUGCAGAAGUUGAACAUCCGGUGUAUUGGAAAGAUUGGUUAAACAGAAUGUUAUUUCCCUUCUUUACCAUUCCAAUUUCUUCAUUUGAAGCUAAGCUUGCUCGCGGUGGUGGUAACAACUUUGGUUUUGUUAAUUGCGGGGAGAAGGUAUAUGAUGUUGGUGGUGGUGUUGAUGAUGAUGAUGAUGAUGUUAGAGUACUUAACUUCAAACCCCAAUCCAACAUUUCUAAGGUAGGAAGAAAUAGCUUUAAAGAUUCGGUGACCGAAUGCGGACAAUCUUCUAAAGCCAAAAGCGACCCUGAAUUCGUCUGUGAGAUAUGCGUUGAACCCAAGACUGGAGAUGAGUCAUUUGACAUCAAGGGUUGCACUCAUGCUUACUGUAGGGACUGCAUGGCCAAAUACUUAGACUCAAAAUUGCAAGACAAUAUAGCUAAAAUUUCUUGUCCUGUAUCAGGUUGUGCAGGCUCAUUAGAGCCUGAGUAUUGCCGUUCAAUCCUUCCUCAGGAAGUUUUUGAUAGGUGGGGCAAUGCUUUGUGUGAAGCUCUGAUUAUGGGGUGUCAGAAAUUCUAUUGUCCCUUCAAGGAUUGCUCAGCAAUGUUGAUUGAUGAUGGAGGAGAGGUCAUAAGGGAAUCUGAGUGUCCUAAUUGCAGGAGAAUGUUCUGUGCACAAUGCAAGGUCCCUUGGCAUUCAGGGAUUCAGUGCCAAGAGUUCCAGAAAUUGCAUGAGGAUGAGAGAGAGAAGGAGGAUAUCAUGUUGAUGAAGCUAGCAGAGAAUAAGCAUUGGAGGAGGUGCCCAAAUUGCAGGAUAUAUGUUGAGAGAACACAAGGUUGCAGGUAUAUGAAAUGCAGGUGUGGCGCUGCUUUCUGUUACAGCUGUGGAACUGCUAAAACAAAUACCAGCUCCCAUUACUGUAAUUACUGCAAGGGUUGACUCUUCUACAUGAUUUGGGUUUUGUUAGAGGGAAAAUGAAAUAUGGCAAUCUAAGUUAACUCCAUUAAAUCUUUUUAACCAUAGCAUGUACUAAAGAUAAGCUGCUGAAAUGGAGAAAUUUGUCAAUUGGUCAAAAUUACGAGAAGGUUGUGAAUGUGGGCAUUGAGUUGAAUCUGAGUUUGAUUAAAUGAACUGAAUUUAAGUUUAUCAAUACUUGCC